RNAcentral lists this ribosomal RNA (795 nucleotides) under uncultured archaeon. RNAcentral describes it as "bacterial SSU rRNA". It matches the Rfam family "Archaeal small subunit ribosomal RNA", at positions 85 to 878 of the family's 1478-position model. The record is from RNAcentral.
ACUGCUCAGUAACACGUGGAUAACCUGCCCUUGGGUCCGGCAUAACCCCGGGAAACUGGGGAUAAUUCCGGAUAACGCAUAUAUGCUGGAAUGCUUUAUGUGUAAAAUGGAUUCGUCUGCCCAAGGAUGGGUCUGCGGCCUAUCAGGUAGUAGUGGGUGUAAUGUACCUACUAGCCUACGACGGGUACGGGUUGUGAGAGCAAGAGCCCGGAGAUGGAUUCUGAGACAUGAAUCCAGGCCCUACGGGGCGCAGCAGGCGCGAAAACUUUACAAUGCGGGAAACCGUGAUAAGGGGACACCGAGUGCCAGCAUCCUAUGCUGGCUGUCCGGGUGUGUAAAAUACACCUGUUAGCAAGGGCCGGGCAAGACCGGUGCCAGCCGCCGCGGUAACACCGGCGGCCCGAGUGGUGAUCGUGAUUAUUGGGUCUAAAGGGUCCGUAGCCGGUUUGGUCAGUCCUCCGGGAAAUCUGACAGCUCAACUGUUAGGCUUUCGGAGGAUACUGCCAGACUUGGAACCGGGAGAGGUAAGAGGUACUACAGGGGUAGGAGUGAAAUCUUGUAAUCCCUGUGGGACCACCUGUGGCGAAGGCGUCUUACCAGAACGGGUUCGACGGUGAGGGACGAAAGCUGGGGGCACGAACCGGAUUAGAUACCCGGGUAGUCCCAGCCGUAAACGAUGCUCGCUAGGUGUCAGGCAUGGCGCGACCGUGUCUGGUGCCGCAGGGAAGCCGUGAAGCGAGCCACCUGGGAAGUACGGCCGCAAGGCUGAAACUUAAAGGAAUUGGCGGGGGAGCA